Molecule: long non-coding RNA, 3984 nt
Filed under: Vitis vinifera (wine grape)
Lineage: Eukaryota; Viridiplantae; Streptophyta; Magnoliopsida; Vitales; Vitaceae
Description: long non-coding RNA (VVIN_LNC006690)
Source: RNAcentral
GCAUCUUCACCAAUCUUUAUGGGUUGCAUGACCCAUUUCUUAAAGGUGCCAUGAAAAGGGGCGACUGGUACAGGACCAAAGACAUAGUACUCAAGGGUUCUGAUUGGAUUGUAAAUGAAAUGAAGAAAUCUGGUCUCCGUGGACGUGGUGGUGCCGGUUUUCCAUCUGGCCUCAAAUGGUCCUUCAUGCCAAAAGUAUCUGAUGGCCGUCCUUCCUAUCUUGUUGUCAAUGCUGAUGAAAGUGAACCUGGAACAUGUAAAGACAGAGAAAUAAUGCGGCAUGAUCCACACAAACUAUUAGAGGGCUGCUUGAUUGCUGGGGUUGGAAUGAGGGCUACUACCGCUUACAUCUACAUAAGGGGUGAAUAUGUGAAUGAACGUAAAAACCUUGAAAGGGCCAGGAAAGAAGCUUAUGAAGCUGGAUUACUGGGCAAGAAUGCAUGUGGAUCUGGUUAUGAUUUUGAUGUCCAUAUCCAUUAUGGUGCUGGUGCUUAUAUUUGUGGUGAGGAAACAGCACUUUUGGAGAGUCUUGAAGGGAAACAAGGGAAGCCGAGAUUGAAGCCUCCCUUCCCAGCUAAUGCAGGAUUAUAUGGUUGUCCCACCACUGUUACAAAUGUGGAAACUGUGGCUGUUUCACCCACCAUCUUAAGGCGUGGACCAGAGUGGUUUGCUGGUUUUGGAAGGAAGAACAAUGCUGGGACAAAAUUGUAUUGUGUUUCAGGUCAUGUGAACAAACCUUGCACUGUUGAAGAGGAGAUGAGUAUACCAUUAAAGGAACUGAUAGAGAGGCACUGUGGAGGUGUUAGAGGUGGAUGGGACAAUUUACUUGCAGUAAUACCUGGGGGUUCAUCCGUUCCUCUCCUUCCCAAGCACAUAUGUGAUGAUGUCCUGAUGGAUUAUGAUGCACUCAAGGCUGUCCAGUCGGGGUUGGGGACUGCAGCUGUGAUCGUGAUGGAUAAGUCUACUGAUGUCGUGGAUGCAAUUGCAAGGCUGUCUUACUUUUACAAGCAUGAGAGCUGUGGACAGUGUACACCAUGCAGGGAGGGAACAGGUUGGCUAUUGAUGAUGAUGGAAAGAUUGAAAGUUGGGAAUGCAAACUUGGAGGAGAUUGACAUGCUUCAGGAAGUGACAAAGCAGAUUGAAGGGCACACAAUCUGUGCAUUGGGUGAUGCAGCUGCUUGGCCUGUUCAGGGUCUUAUCAGGCAUUUUAGACCAGAACUUGAGAGAAGGAUCAGGGAGCGUGCGGAGAGGGAGUUGCUGGAAGUGGCCGCUGCUUAAGUAUUUUAUGCAGGUUCGUUCUUGUAUUUUUCCAGCAUCUUAUUUACUAGGUUUUUCCACAUAAGUUUAAUUAUUCUUAAUUUGUGUGGUUUGAUUUUAUUACUUGUAAUGAAGUUGAGAUCUGUGGGGUUCUGUUUUAUAAUGUGUUGCAAAUGCAAGGGUGGGUCUCACUGUUUGGCUGACCUGAUCUAUGGGUGUACGCCAAAAGUGGGUCCAAGUGGGAAUAGUCCAUCUAUUGUUCUUUUGUUCUCAUCUAGACUGUUAGAGAAAAUAAAGUAGAUGUUGCAAGAAGUUUGCAAACAUUCUCAGGUGGACGGUUGAGGCUCUGUUGGUUUGCUAAACCUAGUUGUCAUGUUCCAAAAAGAAAUGUCUUCUUUGGAGGGAACACUUAGGCUGCGACUUCAGGCAUUUAAUCUCAUGGAAUUUUUUUUCUUUCUAACACGGUGUUAGUCGAAUGCUGUUGUUGACUUUCUUGUGGGAUACCAAACUGGAUUUAUCUAUUUAUUAGGGAAAAAAGAAUGAAAUUCGGGAAUUGUUUGUCUCAUGUGGUGGUGUUUUCCUAGUAAGGAUGAAAACAAAGAUCAAUGCAGUUUUUUUUUUUUUUUCGUGUAAUCAUGUGGGAGUAAUAGGAUAACGCAAUAAUGACUAUUGAGGCAUUGCCUCUGCAUGUGUCCAACCACUUCCAUGACAAUUGUGAAAUGAAACUUAUGUCAUGACUGUUGUUUAAGAUAUCGUAGUAGCUAUGUCACAAAGAUGCUGAUUCUUACAUUAGGUGUCUGAAAAUAGAACCUCAAUGAUUUUGAAAUUUUAUGGAAUAUGCCCAGUGGGCCCCCCAUAUUGAUACUAUAGAGAUUAAUAAAAAGUUAAGUGUCCUAAUCUAGGUGGAGAAAUUGCCUUGAGCUGGGAUGCAAGGUCAUGGAGCUUCAAUCUACUUGGGGCUUCCCAUGGGGGCUUCCUUUAGAGAAGAGUCAGUUUGGAACAACAUGGAAGAGAGGUUCCACUAAAGACUGUCUAUGUGGAAAAAACAAUAUAUUUCGAAAGAGGGGAGGCUUACUCUGAUGCAAAACACCUUAUCUAGUAUGUCCAUCUAUUUUAUAUCUUCGUUCAACAUUCCUAAAAGGGUUAGAUUGAGGCUUGAGAAAGGACUUCUUAUGGGGAGACGAGGCUUUGGAAAAAAAGAUGCAUUUAGUGAAAUGAUUGAUCGUUUGCAUUGAGAAGACUCAAAGAGUGAGGGAGCUUGGGCAUUUGAUGCUUUUCUUUGCUCAAUAGGCACUCAUUGGAAAGUGGAGUUGGAGAUAUGCUUUUGAAGAAGAAGCAUUUUGGAAACAAUUUAUAUUGGGGAAGUAUAGAGAAGAAGGGGGUUCAAGUUCUUGCAAGGUGAGAGAAGGGUAUAGGGUUGGGUUUUGGAAAGCUAUCAAAAAGGGAUGAUACCUUUUCAGCAAUAGAGCAUCCUUUGAAGUGGAUGAUGGGAGGAGGUUGAAGUUUUGGAAGAAUAGGUGGUGUGGGGAUGAACCCUUAUGUGCGUCUUUUGCUCUUUGUACACCUUAGUAUCGUCAAAAGAGGCUUGGGUGGCUGAUGUUUGGGACAAUCUAGGUGAGGGGGGGCAUUAAUCCUUGUUUCUCUAGGCACUUGAAUGAUUUGGAGCUAGACAAUGUAGUUUUCUCAAGAUUGCAAGGAAGGACCAUUAAAAGGGAAGAGAAGGAUAGGGUGUUUUGGAUAGGCUCAAAGAAUGGUGUUCCUUUUAAUCAAAUCUUUAUAAUUUGUCUUGGAGUUAGGGUGUUCAAUUCCUAUCCCAAUGGGUAUCAUUUGGAAUUCAUGGAUCCUGUUAAGUGAGUUUUUUUCUUUUUUUUUUUCUUUUUUUUUUUUGCUUGGAAAUUGGUUGGGGAAAGGUGUUGACUUUAGAUCAGUUUGAAAAGAGAGGGUGGGGGAUGGUGAAUAUGUGAAGAGGAAUCAAUUAAUCACAUCCUGCUUCAUAGUGCCAAAGUAAGAGUACUAUAACAGCUGCUUUUCUCUUUAUUCAGUGCUGUUUGGGAAUCUUCUCUUUUAAGUUGGAAUGUUUCUUUUGUGGACAGAAAAUGUAAGGAGGUUUGGAGAGUUGCUCUUUUAUGCAUGUUUUGGACAAUUUGGAAGGAAAGAAAUCAUUUUGGACAAUUUGCAAGGAAAUAAAUCAUUUUUUUCUGAAAGAAAUCAUAGAGCAUUAAAAAAUGAGUAGUUAGUUCGAGUGCAGUGUUAUGGGUUAGCAUUUACACAGAAAAAGGUUCAAUAUCUUUAAUUUAUUUUGUAUAUUGUGUGUAUUUUUAUAUUCUUACUUUUUCUGGUAAAGCCUUUUGAUACCCAUUGUAGACGCUCUAUGUACAUUGGUGUAUAUUUUCUUUGUUGUUAUCUAUACAAUCUUUUCUCUUACUAAUUAAAAAUAAAAUAAAAUAAAAUCUAAGUGUUGCCACUAUCACAAAAUUUUUUGAGCUCAUCUCCACAAUUAAUUUUUUGCAUUUAAUGUUGGAAUUGUUUUCCAUUCAUCUUAUCUAUGCAGGGAAACACCGGAACUGGUGGGUAAUGUGGAAUAAAAUGAAGAACAACAAAUGUUAGGAGCGGAAGGCAACUCCAGGCAUCUGGCUGUCGAAUUGGUAUUUCGUUUAUUUCCUCCCCUGUAUAACCUCUGUGACUCACUCUUGGAGUGAUUAGCACUACUCCAUAAUGUUGCAAAUCG